This is a small nuclear RNA of Microtus ochrogaster (prairie vole), 127 nucleotides long. The record is from Ensembl. NCBI's taxonomy places the organism in Eukaryota, Metazoa, Chordata, Mammalia, Rodentia, Cricetidae.
CUUUGAAAGGAAAGGAGAGAAAGGUUAGGACUCUCCUUGACCAGAAAAAAAGAAGUACUUGAGUCUUAGAAUAUGCAUAUGGUAAAGGUGUUGUAGCUUACUUUUUGGCAUCUAACGACUGCUUUUC